UGGGGAAUAUUGGACAAUGGGCGCAAGCCUGAUCCAGCCAUGCCGCGUGAGUGAUGAAGGCCCUAGGGUUGUAAAGCUCUUUCACCGGUGAAGAUAAUGACGGUAACCGGAGAAGAAGCCCCGGCUAACUUCGUGCCAGCAGCCGCGGUAAUACGAAGGGGGCUAGCGUUGUUCGGAUUUACUGGGCGUAAAGCGCACGUAGGCGGACUAUUAAGUCAGGGGUGAAAUCCCGGGGCUCAACCCCGGAACUGCCUUUGAUACUGGUAGUCUUGAGUUCGAGGGAGGUGAGUGGAAUUCCGAGUGUAGAGGUGAAAUUCGUAGAUAUUCGGAGGAACACCAGUGGCGAAGGCGGCUCACUGGCUCGAUACUGACGCUGAGGUGCGAAAGCGUGGGGAGCAAACAGG
This 404-nucleotide ribosomal RNA is filed under the name Actinomycetes bacterium. RNAcentral describes it as "Actinobacteria bacterium partial 16S ribosomal RNA". It matches the Rfam family "Bacterial small subunit ribosomal RNA", at positions 355 to 776 of the family's 1533-position model. Lineage: Bacteria; Bacillati; Actinomycetota; Actinomycetes. The record is from RNAcentral.